RNAcentral lists this ribosomal RNA (790 nucleotides) under uncultured bacterium. RNAcentral describes it as "bacterial SSU rRNA". It matches the Rfam family "Bacterial small subunit ribosomal RNA", at positions 8 to 796 of the family's 1533-position model. The record is from RNAcentral.
AGAGUUUGAUCAUGGCUCAGGAUGAACGCUAGCGGCAGGCCUAAUACAUGCAAGUCGAGGGGUAGAUGGAGCUUGCUCCAUUGAGACCGGCGCACGGGUGCGUAACGCGUAUGCAACCUACCUUCACCUGGGGGAUAGCCCGGAGAAAUCCGGAUUAACACCGCAUAAAACCACAGCAGGGCAUCCUGCAAUGGUCAAACAUUCAUGGGGCGGAGAUGGGCAUGCGUGCCAUUAGUUAGUUGGCGGGGUAACGGCCCACCAAGACCGCGAUGGCUAGGGGAUCUGAGAGGAUGGCCCCCCACACUGGUACUGAGACACGGACCAGACUCCUACGGGAGGCAGCAGUAAGGAAUAUUGGUCAAUGGGCGCAAGCCUGAACCAGCCAUGCCGCGUGCAGGAAGACGGCCCUCUGGGUUGUAAACUGCUUUUAUUCGGGAAUAAACCCCACUACGUGUAGUGGGCUGAAUGUACCGAAGGAAUAAGGAUCGGCUAACUCCGUGCCAGCAGCCGCGGUAAUACGGAGGAUCCAAGCGUUAUCCGGGAUUUAUUGGGUUUAAAGGGUGCGUAGGCGGCCUGUUAAGUCAGGGGUGAAAGACGGUAGCUCAACUAUCGCAGUGCCCUUGAUACUGAUGGGCUUGAAUUGACUAGAGGUAGGCGGAAUGUGACAAGUAGCGGUGAAAUGCAUAGAUAUGUCACAGAACACCGAUUGCGAAGGCAGCUUACUAUGGUCUUAUUGACGCUGAGGCACGAAAGCGUGGGGAUCAAACAGGAUUAGAUACCCUAGUAGUCC